AAGGGUGAGUAAUGCGAAGGUAACCAACCCUGGAGUUGGGCAUAGCCGCGGGAAACUGCGGGUAAUUCCCAGCGAUGUCGCGAGAUGGCAUCAUCUUGCGACCAAAGGUGUGAUUCCGCUCUAGGACGGGCCUUCGUGGUAUUAGGUAGUUGGUGAGGUAACGGCUCACCAAGCCGACGAUGCCUACCGGGUGUGAGAGCAUGACCCGGCACACUGGAACUGAGACACUGUCCAGACACCUACGGGUGGCUGCAGUCGAGAAUCUUCGGCAAUGGGCGAAAGCCUGACCGAGCGACGCCGCGUGAGGGAAGAAGGCCUUCGGGUUGUAAACCUCUUUCGUAGAGGAGGAAGGGGCCGUGCAGAGCGGUCUUUGACCUAUUCUAGGAAGAAGCUUGGGCUAAGUUCGUGCCAGCAGCCGCGGUAAGACGAACCAAGCGAACGUUAUUCGGAAUUACUGGGCUUAAAGCGCGUGUAGGCGGAUGACCACGUCAGUCGUUGAAAUCCCCCGGCUCAACCGGGGAACAGGCGCUGAUACGAGUUGUCUGGAGGUGGGUAGGGGAGACUGGAACUUCCGGUGGAGCGGUGAAAUGCGUUG
RNAcentral lists this ribosomal RNA (595 nucleotides) under uncultured bacterium. RNAcentral describes it as "bacterial SSU rRNA". It matches the Rfam family "Bacterial small subunit ribosomal RNA", at positions 102 to 693 of the family's 1533-position model. The record is from RNAcentral.